CAUCACAGCCAGGGAAUUCCUCUCCCCCACCUCCAGAAGAGGGGGACAAGGAGGUCUACACCCCCAACCAGGAGGUUGUUUGAAAACUUAAAAGAAGGCUCCUUGAGCAUCAGAAAUCUGAAGCCAAUGAAAUGCUGGCUAUAAAAGCCCAAGAAAAUAAAAUCCGGCUACUUCAAGCUCGCUUACAGAAGCAUCAGCGAGUUGCUGGAGAUCCAGAAAGAACUCCAAAGUUUGCC
Bufo bufo (common toad) is the source of this 236-nucleotide long non-coding RNA. RefSeq lists it as uncharacterized. The record is from RefSeq and is a predicted model, not a curated record. Lineage: Eukaryota; Metazoa; Chordata; Amphibia; Anura; Bufonidae. The transcript has 3 exons.